This 30-nucleotide non-coding RNA is filed under the name Mus musculus (house mouse). The record is from RNAcentral. Lineage: Eukaryota; Metazoa; Chordata; Mammalia; Rodentia; Muridae.
UUGGUGUCCGACCACGGCACGGGCCUGUGU